AUUGAACGCUGGCGGCAGGCCUAACACAUGCAAGUCGAACGGUAACGGGAAGAAGCUUGCUUCUUUGCUGACGAGUGGCGGCCGGGUGAGUAAUGUCUGGGAAACUGCCUGAUGGAGGGGGAUAACUACUGGAAACGGUAGCUAAUACCGCAUAACGUCGCAAGACCAAAGAGGGGGACCUUCGGGCCUCUUGCCAUCGGAUGUGCCCAGAUGGGAUUAGCUAGUAGGUGGGGUAACGGCUCACCUAGGCGACGAUCCCUAGCUGGUCUGAGAGGAUGACCAGCCACACUGGAACUGAGACACGGUCCAGACUCCUACGGGAGGCAGCAGUGGGGAAUAUUGCACAAUGGGCGCAAGCCUGAUGCAGCCAUGCCGCGUGUAUGAAGAAGGCCUUCGGGUUGUAAAGUACUUUCAGCGGGGAGGAAGGGAGUAAAGUUAAUACCUUUACUCAUUGACGUUACCCGCAGAAGAAGCACCGGCUAACUCCGUG
This 490-nucleotide ribosomal RNA is filed under the name uncultured bacterium. RNAcentral's name for it is "partial 16S ribosomal RNA". It matches the Rfam family "Bacterial small subunit ribosomal RNA", at positions 30 to 507 of the family's 1533-position model. The record is from RNAcentral.